GCCCAUGGCCAUAGCACCCUGAGAGCGCCCGACCUCGGAAGCUAAGCAGGGUCGGGCCCGGGCAUUACUUGGAUGGGAGACUGCCUGGGAGUACCGGGGGCUGUAGGCA
This 109-nucleotide ribosomal RNA is filed under the name Junco hyemalis (dark-eyed junco). The record is from RNAcentral. Lineage: Eukaryota; Metazoa; Chordata; Aves; Passeriformes; Passerellidae.